UCAUUAGCCCCACGGUUACCGAAACCGAGGUGGCCGAGAAUUCCCUUCCUGGAAAAAGAUCUGAUGACAACUUACAGACAGCAAUCACCGAGUUCAGUACUGAUAAAGGUAGUUGAGGAAUUGUCCCCUUGAUAAAUCCUUCCUUCCAUGAAUGACCAGUUAUUUUCACAAUCUCCAUUUCUGAAGGUCCGAACUUAAUGUCAUUCACCACUUUUGGCCUUCUUAUGAAAGCCAACACUACACCUAACAAGAAAAUGAUGAAAGCUGAAGGGAUGGUAGCCAUGAUUAUCCUCAUUCUUUUUCUUCUAAUAUUCCUUUCUUCAUCAACAAUAGCUUCCUCACUUUGAUUUCUUUCUUGACCUGCUCCAUUGAUAAAAGUUAUGAAACCAGCACAAACAAUAGCCAAAACCAUUCCAUCCAAUCCUAACCACUGCCUAUUUCCCAUAGAUUUUGACUUUGAGAAAUCCUGAACCUUUCUAAUAUACUUGACAGCACUCAUAGCAAAUGAUAAGCCUUGGGACAAUUGAAUUCCCCUAACAACAGACAAAGGUAUAAACUUGUACACCAUCUGCAUCAACCCUGUAACACCCAAAACCAGCAAAAUUGCACCUGUACAAAUCCCAGCUGCCAUAAUUUCCGGGAUGUUAAAACCAGAACUGUCCGAUAUAGCUACGGCCGCAAUAGACUUCAUGGGUUGGACAGGCAUUGGGACACCAUAUAAGACACCAGUGACAACGUUGUAAAUACCAGUGAAUAUCAAUGUGGUGCCCAAGUUAAGGUCCUUGGCAAGUGUCAAGGCUAAUACAAUAGGAAUAUAUGUGCCUAAGUCUCCCAUGGCACCAUUCAAUUCCGCCCAUUUGGAAUGAAAACCCAAGUUUCUCGUCACCCUUUGGACUAUGUUGACUGAUGAACGAGAGAUGGGGUUAUUGUUAGGAGGUGUUUCAGGUAGGGUUUGGGGGUUUGGACUUUGAGACUCCAUGGGUGUGAACUGUCAAGUAUACCAGUGAGUGAAGAUUUGACGAGGGAGUGUGAUUGUUUUAAGGGUGACAAGUAGGUCUUAGAGGGGCGAUUUUGACCAUUCUUUUGGUUGGUGCAAAAGCCCUAGGGAAUCUAAACCAUGCGCCACUACUAGUGGCUCGAAGCAUCUUCUAUAUAAAGAGCUUGAAAACCAGACUAAAGUAGUUAAUGUGAUUCUGAUAUGACUCAAAACUAAAAAAAGCAUUUGAUUUUUACCUCUAUUUUAAUCCAUAUUUAUUUAAAAAUAUAAUUAUUUAGAAAAUAGUAUUUUUUUAAAAUUUUCACCCCAAAGUAUAUAUUUUAGGGUAAACUACAGUCACGGUCCCUAGAUUAUUAAUUAGUUUACUUUUUAGUGAAUAAUCUAAAAAAAAUUACAAAAUAGUCAUUGCAUUAUUUGAAAUUUUUAUUUAAGUCAUUGUAUUUUUAAAAUCGUUGUUGUAUGACAUUCUCUAUUAUCAAUGCCUGCACCAAUCUAAAGCUCUCAUUUCCCUUAUUUUUCAUAGUUUAUUUUUUUUUAUAAAAUAACUUUGAAUGUCACAAAUCUACAAAUCAAAAUCCAAACAACUUUAUUUUCUAAUCUCUAACACUGACCAUCAAAUCAAUUUGAAUCUAAAGCAUGCUUUUCUACUUAUUAAUGGAUACUGAUUCACCGUACUGAUCGUCGAAUUGUCUCUUGGAGCUAACUAGAUAAACAUAAAAAAAGAAAAAAAAAGAAGGUAACUUAAUAACUUAGUGACUUAAAUAAAAACUCUCGAAUAAUUUAGUGAUUUAAAUGAAAACUUUCGAAUAAUUCAGUGAUAAUUUUGUAACUUUUUGAAGUUGAAUGAUCAAAAUGUAUACUUACUAAUAGUUUAGUGACAUUGAGUCUAAUUUACACUAUAUAUUAUAUAUUAUAUAGGCCUGCUUAUAGGUCGGGCCACCUGACUCGGUCCGAAAAAUGGGAAGGUUUGGGCAAAAAUAUAGACCCGAAAAAUAGACUAGGGAAAAAAAUAAGGCCUGUUUUAAAAAUGGGUCGUACCUCAGGUGAGACAUUUUUGACCUGAGCCUGGCCCGACCAGAAUUUACUAAAUGCCAAACAAAAUCUGCUAUUUUUUUUGUUAUUUUAAUGAUAUUUUCUCCUUAUUUUGCUACCAUUCCACUAUCAUAUUGCUAUUAUUUUGUUGUUAUUAUUUGGAUAUUAUAUAAUACUUGUUUUACUGUUAAUUUUGUUAUUAUUUUAGAGACAUUUUCUUGUUAAGUUGCAUCUAUCUUAGUAUUGUUUAAGUAUAUAUAUAUUUUUUAAAUUUAUUUUCAAUUUGUUCAGAAAUAUUUAUUUUAAUAUUUUUAGUAUUUUUGAUGUAUUAUAUAUAUUUAAAAAUUAUAUAAAAAAUAAUAUAAUAUAAAAAAUUUAAUAUGGGCGAGCAGGGUCAGGCCCAAGUUUUAGCAUUUUUAUCCGAGUUAGACUUGAACAAAUUUUUAGGCUCAUUUUUUGAGUCAGGUUGGACCCGGGCCUAACAAACAGGCCUAAAUUUUUACUUGAGUCCGACCCGAUCUGACCCAUGAUCACCUCUAAUAUUAUAUAUAAAUAUUUAAAACUGAAAUCUCUACAAAAAUCUAUGAAAGAUAUAUCAAUUAUAAUAUUAAAUAAUUUACAAAAUUUAUAAAAUAAAAUAAAAUAAUAUUUAUAUAAAAAUAUACCAAUAUUGAUUAUAAAAAAAUCAAUUAUACAUUUUCUUUCAAAACAAAUCAAUCAUAUGUAAGAAGAAUUAAUUAUAACUAUAAUUAUAAUUAUACUAAAUAUAACAGCCCUAACCCACAUCCAUCACCAGAAUAGGGUUACGAAGUAUUACCGAUCAAACAGACAUAAUUUCAAGCAUUUCAUAUCAUAUAAUAUUAAAGACAAAACUAAUCAAACUCAUACAUAUUGUCCCUUAUUCGAGCCCUUGAGGCCCAAAUUACGUAUUAGAAACAAGUCGGGACUAAUUCUGAAACUCAGAGAAUUUUUCGAAAAAUAAUAAAAAUUUUCAAAGUUGCAGGGUUCACACGGCCAUGUGGCCAGAAUGUACCUUAAAUAACAAAUUUACCAUUCUCUGCAAGCUUGGACAUUAAGCAAUUCAAAACUCAUUCGUUUAACUUAUUCAAAACACGAUUAAACACAUCCAAAACAUGUUAAAACAAUCAUCCUAGGUGUCUAACCAAUGUACCCUCAUAGGUACCACAAUUAUAUCAUCAAAACAUAUAAAUAAAACAUCAUUCAAAUCCAAUUUAUAAACAUGUCAAUUUUAAUUUAUUUUACCUAUUUCAUGUUCAUUUAAACAUUAACUUAAAUAUGUCAUAUUAUGACGUCAAACAUAAACACAUAUUUAUAUGUAUAUAACCAUCCAAUAUUAGCUUAUAAUCUUAUUUACAAUCAAUCCACAAAAUGAUUAAUAUUUAGACUCCCUAGAUAUAUGCCCAACACAAAAGGAAAAAUAUCACCACGUUUGAGUUCGGGACCGUUGUUGGAUGCUGAAUCGGCGAUCAAAACUUAUUACCUAACCUACGCACAUAAAACAAAACCGUAUGCUGAGUAAAACUCAAUGGUAUUUUUAGAAUCCGAAUAAUUAAAACAAGAAAUUAUAGUUAUACAUUUGAAAUAUAAACACUUAUUAAUAUUUAAAUACUAUAACAAUCAUAUCAUAUUUCGUUUGUUUCACAAUAUCUCAAUUCUCAUACUUGGUAUAUAAAUAGCUUUUCACAAUUUAUUUCAAAUUUCAUUAUAUAUUUGCAAUAUCCAUUCCACAUGCAACUCAUGAGUAUAUAACUCAUAUAUUCCAUGUAUUUGCAACAUAUUUCAUAAUCUAUUUUCAAUUCACUAUUUCACUUCCAUUUAUCAUAACAUUCCAUUUCAAUACCAAUUAUAAAACUUUAUUAUUCAUUUACCCCUAUUAACAUGACUUGAACUCGGACGGAUACACGGACCCAACCAAAACACACCAGUUUGGCACCCAGUAUCUCAUCGGAUAAUUCAAAGUAAUAAGUUGACACCCAAUGUCUCAACGGCUAAAUCGAAGUAAAUUGGCAUCCAGUGCCUCAUCGAAUUAAUAUGAAGUAGUAAAUUGACACCCAGUGUCUCAUCGACUCGAAGUCGAAGUAAUCCCUGAACUCUUUCAAUCUUAUAGCAUGCCAUCUAUGUCCGACUCAGCCCAAUACAGUUAAUAGGGUUUAAUUUCAUAAUUCAAAAACAAUCAAUAUUCAAUAUCAAUUUUUCAUAUAAAUCACAUAUACAUAUAAAUUCAAUUCAGUAUCAAAAUGCUAAAUACUUGUAACAGUCCAAUUUAGACCCUAGUCGGAAUAGUGAUUUUGGGACCACAAAUCCGAAUAAAAAAAUAUUUUAAUAUUAUUUUCAGUGCUUAUAAUAUGUGAAAUGACAUGUGUGAAAGUUUCGUAUGAAAAUUUAAUCGUUUGUGUGUUUAAUUUGAUAAAAAGACUUAAUUGCAUAAAAUGUAAAAGUGGCUUUAAAUAUGAGGUCCUUAUGAUGCAAUUGGACCAUUAACAUGGUUAAUGGACAUUAAUGGCCUUAAUAUAUGAGAUUUUAUAAUGGUUUAUUAAAGGGUAUUUUGGUAAUUGGCAUAUUAAUCAUAUAUUAAAUAAAACAAAACAUUAAAUUGGCUAUCAUAUUCACCGUUUAGCUGAAAUUGAAGAAACAAAGUUAGGGUUCUAAGCCUUUAAGAAUUCAACACAUAUAAGCAUUAAUUAGGUAUGUGUUUUUGAUCGGUUUUUGAUAAUUUCUAUGUUUUUGUGAUCGUUGCUUAGUAUGACUUAAUUUCUGAUUUUGAUGAUGAUUUUGAGUUAUGCCAUUUUUUAUUUUGUAAGCUUUGUGAAGUUAGUUGAUGGAAAAUGAAAGAUAUAUUUUGGGUUAGUAUAUUUUGUCUUUGAAUUUUUGAUGAAUUUGAGUAAAAUGGACUAAAUUGUGAAAAUGAGGUUUUGAGGGACUAAAAUGAAAAAUAAAUGAAGUAUGUGGGCUUGUAUGACCUAUAGGAAUAUUCGGCCAAGCAUAUGUUUAAAGAAAUACGGUGUCUUUUGUGAUUUUAAGAAUUAGGGACCAAAUUGUCAAAAUGUGAAAAUGUGAGGGCUAAUUUGUAAAAUGGCCUAAAUAUGUGUUUUUUGAUUGAUUUGAAUGAUUUGGUGAAGAAAAGAGUUAAAUUUGAAUUUAUAUAGAUCAAGAACCAAAGAAAACGAAAUUAGAUCGGGGAAAGUCGAAAGUCAUCGAGUAGCCGAUUCUGUUUAUUUGAGUCUGUACGAGGUAAGUCGAUAUACAAAUAAAUGUAUUUUGAAUUGAAUUAUUAUUGAUUAUAUGAUUUUGAACAAUGUUGAAUGAAUAUAUGUGUUGAGAAUGAGAUAUCCGAGAAAGUAUCGACAAAGUGUCGACAUCCGAAAAGCCCCGUACGAACCUUAGGAAUAGUUAGGAUACAUAUGUCAUGACAUAGGAUCCGAUAUGUGUUAUCGUGUAAGACCACGUCUAGGACAUUGACAUCAACUUAUGAUUUACGUAUAAGUGCACGUCUGGGACAUUGGCAUCGUAUUUGAUUUCCUGUAAGACCUUGUCUGGGACAGUGGCAUCGAUAUUUGAUUACAUGUAAGACCACGUCUGGGACGUUGGCAUUGUACGAGCUUUCCGAGCUAUCCGCGUAUCCUUAUGAUUCCGAAUGGUUCAACGAGCAUUCUGAGGAAAUGAAUUAUUAUGUGAACAUGUAUCCGAUUCAGGUACGUUUGAAUUGAGUAUCAUAUUUGAUGAAGAAAGGUAAGUAUAUGUACCUUUGUGAACAUAUGGUAUAAUUAUGAGAAAAUAUGUUAUUUGAGAAAAUGGAUUGGAAAUAUAUGAAUUGUAUGUGAACUAUGAGGUACAUGUUAGUAUCUUGGCCAUGAAAUAUAUGUAUUUUAUGAUGUGUAAAUGCUUAAGUUGAUAAGUUUAUUUAUAUAUGACUUACUAAGCUUUUAAAAGCUUACUUUGUGUGUGUUUGCAUUGUUUUAUAGAUAUCUUAGCUACCAGGAGCUCGGGGUGUAAUGGCCUAAAUUCAAGGUUAUCGGAACAAUGGUUUCGUAUCCAUAGAUCCGAUUUAAAGAGAAAUUUAUUUCAAUAAUUUUGCUUGAAAAUUGAUAUGAUAGGAAAAUCGUAUGAAAAUAUUGAUAGAAAAAAUUUACCAAUUUAGUGAUUAGAUAGAAAAAGAAAUUAUUGAAGAAAUUGGGUAAAGACAAUGUAUCGAGACCUCUAUCUAGUAAAACCGAGUCAAAAAUAAUUUUAUAAAUAUUUAUGAAAUGUUAUUAAUGUGGUAUUAAAAUUUCGUUAGGAAAUUUUAAUGUUUGGGUAGUCAAUUAAAAAAAGGACUAAAUUGUAAUAAGUGUAAAAGUUGCUAGAAUGAUUAAAUAGCUUAAGAGUCUAAUGAGAAAGGAUUUAAAAGGCAAUUAGACCCAAAAUUUAUUUGGGCUGGACGGCAAGGGUAUGAAAUCAGCAGAAAAAAUGAAAAAUUAAGGGUAAAAUUGGAAUAUUGCAAAAUUAACUAAAUAAAGCUAGGACUAAAUAGGAAAUAUCUAGAUUUCUCUUCAUUUCUCUUCAAUUCCAGCAGCUAAAAAUGCCAUAGGAGGGUUCUCUAAGCUGAUAUUUCAUAAUUUUUGCACCAAGUGAGUUAAUACUUGCCUUUUUCUUGUAAUUUUUGUGUUUCUAAGACUUUUACAACUAGGUCCUACUAUUAAAUUCAUUAGUUUUUGAUUUCAUGGAUGAAAUUUAAAGUCACCAUGGUUUAUUUCUGUAAGUUUAUGAUGAAAUAGAAUUAAAUUAAAGAUUUAAUUUGUUUAUGAGAUGAUUUUAUUAGGUAAUUUCAAAAGAAAUUGAUUUUUAGGACCUAAUUGUAAAAAUGCUUGGAAUUAAAGUCUAUUGCUGAAAUUCUGAUUCCUAAAGGUUGUAAACUAGUUUAAGGUGAUAGAAUAAAAUGUUAAUUGAGAAAAAUCAGCUCAAUUGAGAGGCUAAUUGAGUAGGGACGAAAUUAUCAUUUAUUAAAAGCUUAGGGGAAAAAUGGUAAUAAACAGCUUGCACAAAAACAGUUUGGACAGCAGCAGUAGACUAACUUUGAAAAAUCACCAUAAAUUUUAGAAAUAGAAUUGGAAGAUGAAAAAAAUAUGGAAUUAAAGCUUAUUGAGUCUAGUUUCUCAUAGAAGAAAUAGUGUAAGCAAUGGAUUUGUAAAUUUUAAGAUAUAAUUAAUUUUGUGAGACAAGGUCAGAAUGAAUUCGGGUUCCCCUGUUCUGACUUUGAAAAAUCAUAAAAAAUUUAAGAAAAACAAUUAUGGGCUUAAAUUUAUAUGUAUAGAAUACUUAAUGAGUCUAUUUUUAAUAGAAACAAACUAGAACAUUAUUUGAAUUCUGUAUGAAGAGAUAAUUAAUUUUUAGUGAAGAAGGGUCAGAACUGUCGACAGCAGAACAGGGGUGACUUUAAAGAAUAAACUGUACUUAUUGGAUAAACCAAAAAUUCUGAAAAUUUUAUAGUAAAAUAUAUAUGAGUCUAGUUUUAGGGAAAAUUAACGUAUAUUAAUUUGGAGUUCUGUAGCUCAAGUUAUAAAUAAUUUAGUGACUAUGACUCAAGUAGACAGCUUUGAAUGAACUAUAAAUAAUAGUUGAAUUAUAGAGAAUGUUGCAUAUGAACAUGAAAUGUAUUAAAUUGAUAAUUAAAUUUAUUUAUUUAGAUCCAGAAGAUUCAAAUACGAAGCUAGAUCGAGGAAAGGAAAAAGUUCGGGAUUAGUAGAUUUUUACUGUUUACAAACAAGUAUAAAGGUAAGUUCGUGUAACUUGAAUUAUAUUCUUAAAUGCUUGAAAUGCAUGUUUUUGAUAUGAAUAUGAUUUGAAUGUUCAUUAUAUGAAAAUUUAUGGAACAUUGAUAUAUUUGAUAAAAUGGGAAGAAAUCCCGUUUGAAUGAAAGGAAAAUUCGAUGGAUCUCUGAAAAGGAAUUGACGGUAAAAAGGAUCUAGCCCGGACGGAAUGUUCAUUAUAUGAAAAUUUAUGGAACAUUGAUAUAUUUGAUAAAAUGGGAAGAAAUCCCGUUUGAAUGAAAGGAAAAUUCGAUGGAUCUCUGAAAAGGAAUUGACGGUAAAAAGGAUCUAGCCCGGACGGGUGAUCCUAUCCUGAUAUAGCCCUCCCGAAGGAUAUGUGUAAAAUGGAUUUAGCCGGACGGGUAAUCCGAAUUAGGGUCUGAAUUUAGCAUGGACUGGUAAUUCAGAUUCAAGCUCAUUAGAGUAAUUGUCGUUGCAGGGGAUUUAGCCUGGACUGGCAAUCCCGACAAUACUCUAUGAGUUUAUAUUGCAGGGGAUUUAGCCUGGACUGGUAAUCCCGCUGCAAGGUUGAGGUUCGCGGGAGUGUGCUCUCUGAAAUGGAUAUGUGCGCACAUGAAUAUGAAUUGACGGACCCGGAAUUGUACACUAAAAGUGUACCUCUGAAAAAUCCAUCGAAAUUCCGAUGAAUUCAACGGGAUAAAUAUGAAAAAAUAACAAGGAAAUGGAAAUCAUGGUAUUGAUGAGCUCAUCAAUCAUAGUAUAUAUUAUUGGUACAUGGAAAUUAUUGUACUAACUUGAAAGUUGAGUUUGUGCAUAUUAGGGUAAUAAUGCAUUGAAUGGAUAUAGGAAUGUUUAUUGUAUUGUAUUGAAAAUAUUAGGUAAGUGUAAUUCUUGUUAUAUGAGCUUACUAAGCACAAAGUGCUUACCCCGUUUCCUUUUUCCUUGUUUUGUAGUGUUAAGAGUUCGGAGGUCGGAUUUGGUCGGAGACACAUCACACUGUCAACCUCAGGAUUUCGGUAUAUAAAGAAACUUUAUUUUGGAAAUCAAUGGCAUGUAUAAGCUAACAAAGUAAAUGUUAACGUGAAAUGAAUGUAAAAUUAGCCAUUAGUAUGGUUAACAAACCUGGUUUUAGAUAUGUGAUGACGUUAUCUUAUAAAUAUGCAUGAAUUUAUCUUGAAAAUAUGUUGAAUUGAUUUGGUUGAUGUGGAUUGGUCUCGAUUUAAUAUUGCAGGGAAGGUUAGAUAUUUAUAAAGGGGCUAUAUAUUGAAUAUAAAAAAAAUUAAUUCGUAAACUCCGGUAAUGCCUCGUACCCUAUUCCGGCAAUGAAUACGGGUAGGGGUAUUACACGGGGAUCAUCAAGGAUUGUCACCACACUAUCAAAAAUUAAGCAUAAGCCGCAAUUUGCUCAACUGUGCUCGCAAAAAAAUUAAGCACAACGUCACAAAAAAAAUUAAGAACAAUAAAAAAUUAAGGACUACAUAGAGGAAUGCUUAGUGUGGUGGAGUGGUCAUAUUUAUUAGAAUGGUAGAAAACUGACUUCCAUUAACAAGAGAGACGAAAAGGCCUGGUCAAGAAAACUAGGGGUUACGGGUUAGGGGUUAGGGCUUGGGGAAGUUAAGCAGAUUGAGUCUUAGCUCAAUUAGUAUGAGCAUUGUUGUCAAUAUGAGAGAACAUGGGUUUGAGUGUGUUGAAAUGCAUUAUCCUCCUGUUUAUGAGUUGUAGACCUAAUAUCAAAAAAGAAUUUGAGAAGUUAAAUUUUAUCAAAAUCAAUUUCGAUAAAUUUUAUCAGCUACACAAAAAAUUAAACUCGUGGAUACAAACUUUUCGUAUGGAAGUUUAGUUCAUUUUAUAAAAAUUUUUUCGUACACAAUUUUAAAUUUUUACAAAUUAAAUAUGUUGUUUGAAACAAAACAUACUAAUUAAUUUAAAUGAAUUUAAGAAAUAAUUAAACCUUUCAAAUAUAGAAACAAAGAAGAAAAUUGGAUUGAAUCUAACUAAAAAUUAAAGAUUUAGUACAUGUGUACUUCAAUUUGAUCAAUUUUGUUGAAUUUUAUAAAUUUUGUUGAAUUUUUAAAAAUUAAUAGUAGGAAAGGCAUUAGCGGCGUUUUUCUUAUAAAAGCUGCAAAAGGUAAACAAUAGCGGUUUUGACAAAACGCCGCAAAAAUUAAAUUUACUUAAAUGAAAACGGCAUCGUUUUGUCGUGAGGACUUUAUUGCCAUUAGCGGCGCUAGGUUAAAAACGCCACAAUAAGUUGGCCAUUAGUGCCAUUAGUGGCAAUUUACUUAAAAGAAAACGACGCCGUUUUGUGGUGGUGGUUUUAGUGCCAUUAGUAGCGCUAUGUUAAAAACGCCGCAAUAGGUUGAUCUUUAGCGGCACUAGGGAAAAAACGCUGCAAAAGGUGUGCAAUAGCGGCGUUUCUGAUAAAAGCGCCACAAAAAUCGAUUUACUUUUUCCAAAACGCUGCCGUUUUGUGUUGGACUUUUAAUGACUUUAGCGGCGCUACUUUAAAAACGCCACAAUAUUUGAUAUUUAGCUACGCUUUAUGUGAAACGCCGUAAAUAGUCAUUUUGUUUUAUUUGAAACGGUGUUGUUUUUCUGUCAUCACUUUCAUCCCAUGCAUAUACUCGAAAUCCCCAAAAUUUUCCCCUAAACCUUAAACCACCAAAUUAGUUUAUUUUUUCUCCAGACAUAAAUCUUACUGCAAAUCCCUUUCUUAUUUUCCCCAUUUUAUUUUCCCCAAAUCCCCUUCCCCGAAAUCCCUAACAUUUUCCCCAAAUAAUUUUUCCCCAAAUCAGUUCCCCCAUCCCUGAGAUAUUGUUUCCCCAAAUCAGUUUUCGAAAUCGCCGUCGGCUGCCCUCUGCAUUGCCCCUCUGCUGCAUCUCCAUCGCCAGCCGUCUGCAUCUUGUUGGAGUGCGGUGAGUCUUUGUUUUUUAACAGAAAUUAACAACAUGAUACUUGUUGAUUCUAUAGCUUCCUGAUGAAUUUGCUGAAAAUUUUAAAACAUCUUUCAAUUUGUCCUUGCAUAUACACGUUAUAAAUUAAUUCAAACAUCCACUAUACCUUUUUGUGUAUAUAGAUUUUUAUAUUAGAAAACCCAACAAAAAUAUUUACUUUUUUACUUCAUGAUAGUUGUUUCUUUCAUUUCAUAAAAUGAAUUUGUGCUUGUUUUGUUGUGAUAGGAUAGAAAUAGGACUUGUUAUUUAACAGUAUCAAUGGAAGGAUUUUAGACAUUAAGGUGAAAAGAAUGGAAACCAAAAAAGGGAUUAAAAAGGAUUAAAGUGAGGAAUAUUGGGUUUCAUACUUGGUCAAAUUCUUGUAACGGUUUUUAAAUCUAUUUAGUGUUUAUUAACCCCCGAAUUUGUUUAGUUUUUAUUAACCCCCAAGACAACAUCAUGGCCUUAGCUAUUAUUACACUGUUCUGGAUGUGGAUUAUUAAAAAAAAAGAAAGAAUCAUUUUGGAUAUAUAUACAUAUAUAUAUACACAUAAAUAAAUAAAAGAAUCAAAUAAGUAAGUUUUGUAUACUAUUGAAUUUAAAUUUUUAAAUUUAAAAGCUAAAGUUUUGCCAAAUUAGGUUGGCUGAACAUCUUUGAUUUUUCUUCAGUUUUGGUUGUUGAAGCCACCCUAUCAUUUAAAUUCUUGGCUGGGAGAAAAUGAAUUGAAACUCUAUUUACAUAAUUUUCAUAACUCAUGUGGACCAUACGAGUAACCAGAUUUCAAGGAUAUAUCUGUCUUUCAUCAUUUUUUAUUCCUUUAUUUUUAAAAUUUGAUGGAAUAAAAUUAAGUUUCACCCCUCAUACAAUUAUUCCAAAUAUUUCAAUCUUAUCAAUAGUAACAUUUAAUUAAAAUUAGGUUUUCAAUCUUAUCAGUUUUUAAUUGAUGCAAAAUGGGUUAGAAAUAAAAACUUCUGUGUGUUUUCAAUAUGUGAAAUCUCUGAUUUGAGUAUUGUAGGUAGCCUUAAAGAUAGUGUACUCCAGUGAUAGGAAAAGUUUUAGAUAAAAACAAAAUGCAGGAUGAAAAAUCACCAAAGAAACCCCAUUAAACUGCUCUGCUAAAAAAUUAAUUGGUUUUUGUAUAAAGAAUUUGUGUUAGUGUAAUUUAAGAGAGAUGUGUGUUAAUUGCCUAAUAAAUAUAGAUUCUUGCUAUUAAAAAACGAUUCACCUUUAUCUCUGAUUAUGCAAUUUUUGCUUUAAUUACAUUGGAUUAUGCAAAACUUUUUCUUUUAAUUUCUUCGGUAGCCCUCCGCUACUUCUUCAAUUUUCUGCCAUCCAGUUUUCUGCUAUCUGCCAUACUGUAAGUUCUUUUUCUAAAAAGUAUUAGUGAAUUAAUGUUGUUUGAUUUUAUUUUAUUUUUUAAAUUAAAGUUGUUGGAAUGCAUGGUAAAUUAGAAGGUUGAAGCUGUCCACAACAGGACAUGUUUCCUAUGAUUACCGAGUGUUAAUGCUUGUUUAAUUGGAGUAUAAAUGUUGUCCAAAAUAGGGUGUGUUUUGGUUAUAAUGUGUCUCGCCCCUGCUAUACAUAGAAUCAUUUAAUAAUGGACUUUUAUUUUGUACUUUUAUUUAGGCUUAAUGCUCAAUUUGAUUCUUGGACUAUAUUCGAUCUUUUUAUUUUGAUAUCUAUUUUUUUGUCUCUAUUUGAUGCUUAAAUUAUUAUUAUAUUACCUGCUUAAACCCAACUUUUAUAAAAUUUUUAAAAAAAUCAAUUUGUAUUGUUUAAUUCAAAAUAUGUCACGUGACAUAUGUAACCAUUUAAAUUGAAACACGUAACAUUCAUGUUUAUUGAAAUAUUUUAAAAAUAUAAAAAUAAUUUUAAAACGUUAAGAUAUUUUUUAAAAUACCAUCGACUUUGGCUGGCGUUGAUCAUCGUUGUACAAUUUUAUUUUGAAUUUUAAUAUACUUUUUUUAAAAAAAAAUCAAAUUCUUCUAUAGAAAUUAUAUUUUUUUUGCAAUUUUUUAAAAAAUAUUUCAGUUUUUCUCGAAUUUAUUUUAAAAUUUUUUCCAAAGUUAAAUCUUUUUUCAAUCUUGUAAUUUUUUUUAAAAUUUAAUUAUUUUUUUCUAUUUUUAUAAAUAUUUGAAAUUUUUAUAUACUAUUUUGACUUUUCAAAAUUUAUAUUUAUAUAUUUUUGAAAUUUUAAAAAAAAUACAUUUAUUUGAAUUAUUUAUAUGUUAUAUUUUAAUUUUUUAAUUAAUAUAAUUUACAUAAUAUAAAAAAUAAAAAGAAAGUGAUGUGAUUCAUUUUAAUAGCUUCACGUGCUAAUUUUUCCCCCUAAUCGUAUGGAUUAAAAUAUAUAAUGAAAUGAUAGUUUAAGUAUUGAAAAAAAUUAAAAAUAAUAAUAAAAUAAAAGAAGUGUUAUUAUUUGUGUAAAAAAAAUAAAUUUAAUUCAUAAAAAUAUAUAUAAAUUCAAAACAUAUUAUAACCAAAACAGAAAUAUAUAUCUAAAUUUCAUAACUUACAUAACUUAUAUAAUUUUAAUAAAUUUAAUUUAAUCUAAUAAUUUCCUUAAAAGUAUAUAGUUUAAAGUUUAAAUUUCAUAACUUAUAUAUUUUACGUAACUUACAUAACUCACACAACUUACAUAACUUAAUAACUUAUAUAUAUCAUAUCAUAACUUACAUAGCUCACAUAACUUACAUAACUUACAUAACUCACAUACCUCACAUAACCCACAUAACUUACAUAACUUACAUAAUACAUAAAUAGAUAUCAUAUCAUAUCAUAAUUUACAUAACUUAAUUAUACUUGUAAAUAAACAACUUACUCAUAUAAUUUAUUGUCAAGUUUAGACUUAAAGAACUACGAAAUGGAUAGGAGUUGGAUGAAAUUGUCAAGGGUAAGCAACGGCUAUCGAAAUGGAGUAUAAACUUUCUAAAUUUUACAUUUCAAAAUGCAAGCCAAGAGAAUAUGAUUCUUUGCCCGUGUAAGAAGUGUGACAACAUCAAUUGGCAUUUUCAUGAAGUUGCCUACAAACAUCUAAUUGUUAAUGGCUUUAUUCGGGGGUAUAAAAAAUAGAUUUUUCAUGGAGAGUGUACACCUAGUAAAACCUCUUCAAUGAUUAAUUCGGCUUAUCCUUAUAGUGCUUACCAUCAGUCUGUUAGAGAAUAUGACAUGGAAGGUAUAUUGCGGGAUGCAUUUAAUAUGCGCAGUCAUGGUUUGCAAUCGUUUCCACCUGACUUUGUUGCAUCCGAUGAUUGUAAUUUUGGUGGAAAUGCUUUUACCUAAACGGGAAGAAGUGUACCUGAUGAAGAGCCAAAUGAAGAAGAAACGAAGUUCUACACGUUACUUAAUGAAAUAAAUGAAGAACUUUAUGAGGGAUCAAAAUUUUCAAAAAUGCCUUUCUGUAUUUGUCUUUUUCACUUAAAAUGUUUGGGAGGGUGGACCGGAAACUCUUUGACAAUGCUGUUAGAGUUUUUGAGAGAUAUGUUUCCGUUUGCAAAAAUCCCUCAUUCAUGCAAAGAUAUGAAGAAACUGAUUAAAGAUUUAGGCUUGGGUACAACAAAAUUCAUAGUUGCCCAAAUGACUGCAUUUUGUAUUGGGGUGAUCAGAAAAACCAAUAGUCUUGUCACGUUUACGGUAAAUCUCGUUGGAUGAAUAAAAAUACAGAAGAUGUGAAUGAGGAUGAAUAUGAGGCACAAUCAAGAAAGAAGGAAAUAAAGAUUUUGCGAUAUUUUCUGCUAAUACCAAGGCUUCAAAAGCUUUUCAUGUCGUCAAAGACAGCUGAGUCUAUGACGUGGCAUCAUGAUCAGCGAACCGAUGAUAGAUUAUUAAGGCAUCCUGCGGAUUCUUUAGCUUGGAAAUCAUUCGACAAUAAAUUUUCAAGCUUUGCAAGCGAUUCUUGAUGUGAGGCUUGGGCUAGCAUAUGAUGGAUUUAAUCCUUAUAAAAUCAUGAGCACUUCGUACAGUACUUGGCCUGUAGUGCUUGUUCCUUACAAUUUGCCUCCAUGACUUUGCAUGAAGCAAUCUUCUUUUAUCUUAUCUAUAAUUACCCCUGGAGAGAAAGGUCCCGGAAAUGAUAUUAAUAUUUAUUUGCAGCCACCUAUUGAAGAGUUAUAACAGUUAUGGGUGGGUGUUGAGACAUAUGAUGUAUUGAGAAAGGAGAACUUUUAUUUACAUGCAGCUUUGUUGUGGACUAUUAAUAAUUUCUCGGCUUAUGCCAAUUUAUCUGGUUGGAGUACCAAAAGACGUUAUGCUUGUUCUUGUUGUGCUGCACAAACAGUUCGAAGUGGUUAUAUAAUGGGAAGAAGUUCUUUUAUAUUGGGCAUCUUUGGUGGUUAGAUGGAAAUCAUAGAUUUAGAUUUCAUAGGACUCUAUUUGACAGUACUGAAGAGUUCAGAGAAGCUCCUGAGUAGACCAUUGGAUCUGAAAUCUUGUUCAUGUUGAAACUUUCAGUUAUGGGAAGAUGAAUCAACCACCCAACAAGCAAACAAAGAGAAGAUCGAGGGAUGAAUCUGAUGAUGAAUCUGAUGAAGAGGAUGAUUCUAAUGAGGCAGACUUGUGGAAAAAAGAAGAAGUAUUUUUUUGAGUUGCCUUAUUGGGAGCAUCACAUUUUACGACACAAUCUUGAUGUAAUGCAUAUUGAGAAGAAUGUUUGCAAGAACAUCAUUGAGACAAUUUUGAAUGUCCAUGAAAAAUUGAAAGAUAAUCUUCAGAGUCGAUUUGAUUUAGUUGACAUGGGAACUCAGCGUGAUAUUCAUCCCCAAGUACUUCUGAAUGGGAAAUAUCGGUUGCCACAUUCUAUUUUUGCAAUGUCGAAGGAAGAGAAAGAAGUGUUCUGCAUGGUGUUGAAGGAUAUAAAGGUCUCAGAUGCGUAUGCAUCAAAUAUAUCUCAAUGUGUGAGUCUUAAAGAUCGAAGACUAUAUUCCUUAAAAUCACAUGAUUAUCACAUCUUGAUGCAAGAUUUACUGUCAGUUGCUUUACGGUACCGUAUAUCAAAAAAGGUGACGUCCUGUAUAAUUGAACUAUCCAAUAUAAUGAAAGCUAUUUGUGGCAAAGUUUUGAAUGUUAAAAAACUUGAGAAAGUACAAGAUCGAGCCGCUUUGACUUUAUGCAAUUUUGAGAAGAUCUUUCUACCUUCCUUCUUCACUAUUAUGGUGCACUUGUUAAUCCAUCUCCCUCACGAAGCAAUAAUUGGUGGACCGAUUUUUUAUCGGUGGAUGUAUCCUAUAGAAAUGUGCUAAUUUAUUUGUAAAGUAUUUAUUCAUUCACAUGUAUACCUUUAGUUACAACUUUUGAUAAUAUUGUAUAUUGUGUUUAGGUUUCUAUGCAAAUUAAAGUCUUAUUGUCGUAAUAAGCGUUAUCUAGAAGGAUCAAUUGCUGAAGGUUACUUGGCAGAGGAGUGUAUGACUUUCUGUUCUAGAUAUUUAGAAGAUGUUGAAACAAGACUGAAUAGACCAAGUAGAAAUGCUGGGCUCACUGAUCAUAACUUGGCCGAAACUUAUUUAUUUCAAAGUUAUGGAGAAUCAAUCGGUAAAGUUGAAAUUGCAGAAUUAGAUGAUAGAUUUUAGGUACAAGCACAUCGAUAUGUUCUUUUUCAUAACAAUUCAAUUGAACCAUUACAUAAGUAAGUUCUAGAAUUUGAUAAAUAUUCAUCUUUUUGAUUUGUUUAUCUUCUAACCAAUUAAACCUCUUUUUAACAUAGUGAGUACAAACAAAUCUUGAGAUCUCGUUCAUGCUCCCGAAGAUUACAACAUCAAGAGAUUGAUAAGUUAUUCACAGAAUCUUUUCAUGAAUUAAGCCAAACGGUAUGCAACUGAAGCUUUUAUUGACAAAUAAGAACGUUUUCUCAUAACAUUUAUAAUUACUCAAUUUACUUUCGAUUCUAUAGGUUUGAAGUGGGAAGGACGUCAAUGACGAAUUUAAAUGGUUUUCCCAAAGUCCGAAUAGAGUAGUAAAAAGAUAUAGUGCAUUCCUCAUCAAUGGAUUCAGAUUUCAUACAAAAUAUCGCGAGAGAUUGAGGAGAACUCAAAAUUGUGGAAUAGUUGUUAAUUCUUCAAUUACAAGUUAUGCUAGUGCUAGAGACAGUAAUCCUGUUGAGCGAAAUGUGGAGUAUUACGGACUUCUUACUGAUAUUAUUGAGUUGGAUUACCAUGGCAAAUAGAAAGUUGUCUUAUUUUGAUGUGAUUGGGCUGAUGUUAAUACUGCUCACGGAAUUAAAAAAGAUCAAUUUGGUUUUACAAUGGUGAAUUUCUCUCGAUUGAUUCACACUGGACAACAAUUGAUAGACGAGUCGUAUGUAUUUUCUUCUCAAGUGAAACAAUUUUUUUACUUGAAAGAUUCAACUGAUGAGGGUUGGUAUGUUGUACUCCGAAACACCCCUAGAGACUUGUUUGACAUGGGUAAUGGAAGUAGAGAUGACAUCGUCAAAAGAUCAGAAACUUUGCCUUUUCCAGAACAAAACUUUAAUGAAAAUAUCCCUAGUACUAGUACACAAUUUCAAUGGGUUCGUCAGGAUGUGGAUGAAGCUAUUUACGAAUUAUGAUGUAGUAAGAUUUUACGAUUUUUUAAUUAUAUAUAAUAUUAUAAUUUAAAUCUUGGUCUUGUUAAAUAUUUCAACUAUUUUAUAUAUACUAUUAUUGUUGUAAUUAGUUACUAAAAUUUCAACUAUUUAAUGUGUCUUGCAGGAAAAAUGCCUAGAAGAAGAUUACGAAAUCUAAGUAUUGUUCAAAAUAAUCCAAAUUCGGAAGAAACAAAUAGUGAACAACAGACUGCUAUUGGAUCUUCGAAUGUUUCGGAAACACCUGACGGACCUGCAGAAGUUCAAAGUAAAGUUAAAUUUAAUUUACAUGCGUGUUGACUUUUAUUAUUGAUUUCUUUUUCAAAUUAUUAUAUUAUAAUAUACCAUUUUUUAGUUGAAAGUGGUAGAACGCGUAGAGCUCGAUGACAUAAGCUACUUAAAGAUUUAGACGAGUUAAAUCCUAUCGAGCGUGUCAAAGUAUCUAGAAAUAAUCUUGGUCAGCCUGUUGGAUCAGAAGCUCGACUUUUAGCAGGAUAUUUGGGCAUUAUAGCACGAAAUGCUAAUAUGUUGCCUAUUAACUACGAGUCAUGGCAUCAAAUACCUAAUAGUAACAAAAAUCAAGCUCUCGAUAAUAUUAAGGUAACGAAAUGUGAAUGUAAUUUAUAAUACUUUGGUUUAAGUUUCAUUUAUAUUUACUUUCUAAACUUGUGUUUUUUGUAGGAGAGAUUUAUUUUAGAGGUCUCGGAUACUUAUGUCAAGAAGGCAUUGGUAAAAAAAUAGAGACACCAUAAAAGCAAUUUAAAGAAAGAACAUUUUAAGAAAAAUAUAAGCCUUGAAGAGAAAUUGCGAAGUGUCCCACCAGGAAUGCUGAGGUAUCAAUAGGAAGAUGCGGUUUGAUUUUGGAAUUCAAAGAAAGGAGAGGUAUUACGUACUUCCAAACUCUUAUAAUUAUUUCGGUUUAUAGUAAUUACUAUAUACGUAGUAAUAAUUUCAUAAUGUAGGACCGUGAGCGAGUUUGAACAAGCAGCAGGGAAAAACAAAAAUUCACGCACACAGUACGGUCGAAAAGUUUUGCUUGUGUAGCUGAGGCUGAGGUAUUUUGAAAUUAUUAAUUGUGUCAAAUAUUAAUUACUUUCUAUUAAAUAAUAUUUUUAUUACUAUAUUGUAGGAACACUCAUUUGGUAAAAAAGUUGGACGCCUUCAGCUUUUUGAUAUUACACAUAGGAAGAAAUAUGGAUCUCCAAUGACUUCUGAAGCUGGAGAAAUUAUGGUAUAUUUACUUAAUAAAAUUUGAUUUAUUUUAAAUAUUAUAAUGUUUAAUUAUAAUGGUUUAAUUCGUCAUUAGCAGUUUUAAAUAAUGUUAAGUUAUUUUGCAUUUAUUUUUAUUAUAUAUUUCAUUUCUAACUCUUUGAUUGAUUUAUUAGGAGAAAUUAAAGGAUAGAAAGGCGCAGUAUGAAGCGAUUGCUUAAAGUGAUAGUUCUGUUAAUCUUGAGGACAUUGAUAACAAAAUUAUUACUGAAGUUUUGGGUCUUGAAAGGUAUGGUCGAGUUCGAUUUCAAGGAUCAGGUGUUAACUCAACCCAAUAUUUUGGAUCUAGCUUGCGACAAUACAUGCCUUUGGGGAGUCAAGCUCAAGCUGAAGUUCAGAGGUUAAGAGACCAGAUCACUCAGAUACAAGUGAGCACAGUUGAGCAAAUAACUCAACUUAGAGCGGAGGCAGCAACGAGGGAAGCAGAGCAGAGCAGAAAGUAUGACGAACUCCAGCUACAGUUUCAGAAUAUGAUGAAAAUGUUUCAGCAGCCGCAAAAUUCGUCAUCUUAGACAUUUGUUUUCUUAUUGUAAGAAUCUUUUUAACAUUGUAACUUUUAAUAUUAUUGUAAGAAUAUUUUGAAUUAUACUUCAUUUAUUAAUUUAUAUAAUAUAUCUUUAGUUGAAUUUGAAUAUCAUUUAGAUUUGUUGUUUUUGGCUGAAUUUCAUGCUAUAGGAAGGGUUGGAUACGGGUAAAAACGUGAUAUUGCAAAUCAACCAAAGUUAGUAACGUUUUCCGUAAAAAUGCCGCUAAAGGACAUGUUCUUUAGCUGCAUUUGUGGUGAAAGCGCCGCUAAAGGUCAUGCUCUUUAGCGGCAUUUGUGCUGAAAGCGCCGUUAAAUGUCAUGUUCUUUAGCGGCGUUUGUGGUGAAAGCGCCGCCAAAAGGUCAUGUUCUUUAGUGGCUUUUUUUCAAAUAAACGCUGCAAACUUUAGCGGCGUUUUUUUGUGGCGCCUGUAAAAACGCCGCAAAUAGUUUUAGUGGCGCUUUAUAGGCCUAAAAAACGCCGCUAAAAGUCAAUUUUGCUGCAGUGUACUCUUAAUUCAUGCAAAUUCACCUAACCAAAACCUAAUUAACCACACAACUAGCUUCGUAAAUAUUUUUAAUAUAUAUUUACGAAUUCCAUAUACGAAAAUGGAGUAUCAAAAAUACAUUUUCCGACACCUGUGACUAUAGAGUCGUUACAAUUAUAAUUAUAAUUCUAUAUUAAAUCAUAAUUAAAUUAAAUCAAACAUUGUUUAAAUUAAAUUAAAUACAAUUAUUAAAUAUAUUGUAUAAAACACUUUUUUAUAUAUAAUUAAUUUGUAUUCUCGUAUAAUGUACAAAUUAAUUGUAUGCAUUAUUUUAAAUAUGUAGUAAUUAAUGAUAACAUAUUUAAAUUACUACUUAUUUUAAUUUUUAACUCAAAAUUAUAACCUACAUACAAACCAACUCAUAAUACAAAUUAAUAUUAUAUAUAUUAUAGCAUCACAAUCAUCAUCUACGCUCAAUCACAUAUUAGCAACACCAAUAAUUAUAUACAAAUAGUCCAAAGUUAUGUGGCCUCACUAAUUGGUUUGCUGCUAUUGAUUCCACGUAAAGAUAUAUUAAGAUAGUUGCAGCGACAUAAAAUUUUUGCUUUCGGCCGCUAAUUGAGGUGAUUUAUUGAAAAUUUAAAAAUCGACUUUCGAUUUUAUUAAAAAGGGAGUCGCCACCGAUCCUUUUUCCUAGGUGUGAUCAGACACCUAAUAAAUCCUCUUUUUUAAAAAGAAAAUUUAUUUAUUUUUAAACAAAGUUUAGGUCUACGUCAAAAGCUAGAAAAAAAAUAGGGUUCGGGAGUCGGUUACGCACGAGGAAGGUAUUAGCAUCCUCGCGACGCCCAAAAUUGGUAUCUCGUUAAACAUGUGUUGUCUUAAUUUUCAAAAAUACGAGUUCAAUUUAAAUUUUAAUCUUGAUCUGAUCAAAACACGAGAAUUUUUAAAAUUUUGGUUUCUUUUAAGAAGGGCGUUUUCUUUUUUAACACGAUCCGUUGAUAUUCACCCAACAUAGCGAUGAAAUCCAUGACUUAAUGUUAAAUUGGUGCGUUACCUUAUUUAUUGAAAUUAAAAAACAUGAGUAAAAAUAUUUUUUAAAAUAAAAAUUCAUAAAUAAAUAAACGGUGCAAACAAUAUAAUGAAUGAAAAAUAUUAACAUAUAAUAUAAGAGCAUUAGGAUAAAAAUAAAAACAAUAUUUACAAUAAAAAGAAAAUAAUAAUAAAAAUAAUGACAUGCUAAUAAUAUAAUAAGAAAAGCAAACUGAUAAAGAAUGGGUGAGAAACAAAAAUAAAAGAGUUAGAAAUUCAUCGAAGCAAAUAAUAAAUAUGACAAUAAUAUUAAAAACAAUAACAAUGCAUGCGAUGUUAAACAUAAUAAUAGUAUUAAACACGAAAUAAAAACGAUGAAUAUAUAUACAUAUAAUAAUUAGUAAAGUGACGGAAACAUGAUAUUAAAAACACUAAUAAUGUUACCUGUAUACAUACGUAUAUAUAUUAAAAUAUAAACAUAAUAAUAGUAUUAAAAAGUAUAUACGUAGUAUUGAAAAUAUAUAUAUAAUAUAUACAUAUUAGAAAUAAUAAUAAUAUUAAAAACAACUAUUAAUAAUAUUACAUAAAUAUACACAUAUAACAUAUUAAAAAUAUAUAAAUAAUAAUAAUAUUAAAAGUAUGUACGUAAUAUAGUGUUAAAAUUACAUACAUAAUAUAGUUUUUUUUAAAAAUAUAUACAUAAGAUAAUAUCUAAAAAAUGUAAUAUAGUAUUAGAAAUAUAUGCAUGACAUAUAUAAAAAUACAAUAUUAAAAAGAUAUAUAUAUGUAAUAUAUAUAAAAAAUGUAUACAUAAUAUAGUAUUGAAAUAUUUACAUAGUAUAUACAUAUUAGAAAUAAUAAUAAUGUUAAAAAACAACUAUUAAUAAUAUUACUAAAUAUAUAUAUAUUAAAGAUAUAUACAUAUAUAAUAAAACAUAUACUAAUAUUAAUAAUAAUAAUAAGGAUAAUAUAAAAAUAUAUACAUAAAAUAGUAUAAAAGAUAUAUAACUAAUAAUAUUAAAAAUAUAUACAUAAUAUAUAUACAAACAUAUACGAUAUAUAUAUAUUAGAAAUGAUAAUAAAUUGAAAAAAAACUAUUAAUACACUACAUAAAUACAUACAUGUAUAUACAUAUAUAAAUAUUAAGUGAAAAAUCAAUACUAGUACUAAUAAUAGUAAGAUACAAUGAAGAAUGGAUAUAAUAAUAAAUAAUAAAUUAUAAUAGUAUAAAUAAUAAUAAAAUAAAUAAAAAGAGAAAAGGAAAAAAAAGGAAAAGUGAAAAAGGACGAAAAUCGAAACAAAACAAAGUUUGGGGUGAAUUUAAAAAGAAAAAAAAAGAGAAAAGGACCAAAUUGCAACAUGCGCGCAACCUGGAAAUACUGAAAGCGCAAUAUUCCCCAUCCUAAAAUGCAGCGCGUGGCCGAGGACCAAAUUAAAAAGCGCGACAAAUUCCAGGGCCGAAUUAAAAGUAAAAUAGCUUGAUUGUAAACACAUUAAAAAGCGGAAGGGCUAAAUGCGCAAAUAACCCUUCCGUUAAAAAAACACGCGGAUCAUCCUCCCAGGCGGGUCGGGUCACGAGUUCCCUCCCCAAAACGAUGUCGUUUUGCAUCUGGGGAGGGAACCCAAAAUGCUGCCGUUUCGGUCAGCUUAUAAAACCCACAAAAUUUUUUAUAACAGCUCAUUUCAUUGCCGUUUCAGAAAAAAAAGAGGGAGAAUUCUCCCUUUCUCUCUAGGCAACCCCAGAUCCCGGCCAAGAGGGCCACCGCACACCACCACCGUCGCCGUCGCUGGCCAGCGCACGAGGUGGCCGGAAUCCCGAAAAGUAAGUUUUUUAUUCUAUUUUUUUAUAUGUUUAUAUAUAAAUAUAUAUACUGUCUUUUUUUUUUUAAAAAUGGAAAAAAAAUAUAUGUAUGUGUGUAUAACAGUUUAGUGUAUGAGUAUUUUCAAAAUAAACAAAAAUGCUAAUGAAAGAAGCAAUACCCUAUAGUGUUUGCUUUGUUUUCUCUUUUUCCUCAAAAUUUUGCUGUGAUCUUUGCGUUUUUUGGAGAAAUCGGUUACUUCUAUUGCUUUCAAAGGAAAAAAAAAAUCCCCGUUACAUGGCUUUUUGUUCGACUUAUAUAGCCAUUCACACUGCUAUUAUUUUCCCUUACUGUCUUUUCUUGUUACUGCUUGCAGGUGAUGGUGCAAUAUGGAGGAUGGUGGGGUGGUGUUGAGGCAACGUCAGAGGCGUCAGAGAGCAGGUGUGGCUAGUGGCAGAAGACAGACUAGGGUUUCAGCUUUUAUGAAACCCUAGUUUGACUAAUGGGUUUGGGUUUGGGCUUGUUUAGUUUAGUUUAUUGGGCUAAUGUAAUUGGGUGGGUAGGUUUAGUUUUUGUUUUGGGCUUGUUGGGCUCGGGCCAAGAUUGGUGUAUACAAUAGUGAUAAUAAGUGUGAAAAAAAGCAAAGAAUUAUGAUGAACGAUGGUUCGAGAGUUUAAGGUGCUUGAUGCUCAGGGCAAUGUUGAAAAAAAUUGGUCAAUGAAUAUGUAUGAAUUAUUUAAAAUAAUAAUUAAUUAAAAUAAUAUUAAUUAUUUUGAUAAUUCAAAUAUAAUGUGAAAGGACGUGCUCUAGGGAUAACCCAUUAUCUAUUGGGUGAAAUUAGGGGUGAGCAUUUGAUCGAGUCGAAUCAAGUCAAAAAUUUGAAUUAAUUCUUUUUCAAGCAAUUAAAAAAACUAAUUAUUGAGUUAUACUCCUAUGCCAAUAAUUUAAGCCAAAUUGAUUCAGAACAAACCUCAGUUAUGAAUACCCAAGAUAAUUAGGUAUAUUAUUAUAUUAAUUACAAUUCAAGAUUUAGUUCAUCUAAUUUAGAUCAAAUUCUAGCCCUAAAACAAAAAGUUAUUUUCUAAUUCUUGUAAAUUUUGUCAAAUUAAUAGUUAGUCCAACUAGUAUCAAUAAAGAACAAGGAUGAAUAAAUAAUCAAAUAUCUAUCAAGAAUAUCCAUUGCAAUUGUAGAAAAAAAACACAGUCAAUGGAAAAAUUGAAAAAUAUCUUCAAAUAAAAAUAAGAACUACUCAUAAAAAAAUUAAAAAAAAAUAGAUGAAGAAAAUUGAGUCUUCUCGAUGAAUUCCGUCGAUCCUUGAUGCUAAAAGGCCUUAGUUUAGUAGCUUCUCUUCAUUUUCUCCACAGUUUUCUGGGGUUAAGUCUCUUUUUUCUUCUUUUUGAUCUCAUCAAAAUUCACAGCACUUAUCAAGUAAUCACGAAUAAAUCUUCUGUUGGAGUGAAAACUACUUUCCUUACAUAAAUCCCUAUUUUUAUACUUCGUCGGACGUCAUACAAUAUAAAAAUAUAUAAUUAAUUUAACAACCAUUAAAUAUAAAGAAAUCAUUAUCAAGAAAAAGGUAAGCUAUUAUUUUCUGUUUUAAACUAUAACUAAAGUAACACGAAUUUAACUCAAAGAAAAUAAAAAUAAAUUAUUAGUAGUUAUCAACAGAAAGACAAUGGGAGAAGACCAAGAAACAAUGCAAAAGAAAGAAUCAAGCACGUUAAAUAGAUGGAAGAUGAGAAGAAUCAUAAGAAAUUGAAAACUUUUGCGGAGAUUGUAAGGGAAGAUUCGAGAAGAGGUGUGGUGUAAUUGAUCAAAACUGUAUUAAGUAAAUAAAUUCAUUGAUUUGGUUCCUAUGAUUAUGAUAGAAGAGUUUUCAUUUUAGUUACCUUCUUACUUUUAUUAUAAACUAGUUUUUUCACCGAAGUUUAAUGGUAUAUAUAUCAAUUAAAAUAUAAUAAAAUUAUUUGAUUUUUUUUUAUUAUAAAUUUCAUCAUUUUAUUGCGAAUAAAAAAUUAUUAGUAAUAAAAAAAUAAGAUUUUUUUUGAGUAAAAAAAAUAUUUUUUCAGAAUAAAAGUUUUACGAUGAAGAAGAUGGAAUCUAUAAGAUCCAUCAAUAGCAAAAAUGCACCUUUUCUAUCCAAAAGACAUCAUUCUGAUAAUGUAAAUCAAAUUUUGCUGAUUUCUGAGCAUCUUCUAGAAAAACCUUGUAAACCAAAAUAAGUUUAUUAUAGUUUAUUUUUAUUUAAAAUAUAAUAAUUUUAAAAACAGUGAUAGUAUAUUUUUUUGUGUUGUGACAAUGGGUGGAUUUAGUGAUAAAUGUAUUGUUCUUCAAAAUGCAAAGCUGAGAAAAAUUAUCAUGAGUGUACGAUAAAUUAAGAUUAUUUGUUGUUAUUAUUAAAGAAAGUGAAUAUUUUUCAUUGAAUUAGGCUCUAUAAAUUAUAAGAAAACAGAAUUUCGUAAACAUCAUUUUGUGUUUUAUAUGAUUUCUGUUUGGAUUUAGUGCUUAAAGUAGUGUCCACCAUUUUAAGCACUACUUUGAUUGAACUAUUUGAUUCUUAACCAUGCCUAAAUUAUUUUAAAUUCUAAAAUCCUUCAAAAUUUUUACCUAAAUAAGUAAAGUCACAUCUAGAAAUUUGAAACCUUUAAUACAAAUAAAAUCUCUCGUUUAAACACACUUUUAAAGAAAGGAUAUAAAUUUGAAUCUUAAAAAUAACAUUAUUAAAAGAGAAAAACACAAAUUAGAAAUAAAAAGUAUACUUUGUUAGUGUAAAAGCAUUAAAAGUUUUAGAAAAUUUAGAGGUAAUUGUGAUGAAUUGAAAGUUGACAUUUGCCUUAAUAUUUUAUUUAGCUGCACAAGCAGCCGUUGAAUUGAGUAUAAAAUCCUUAGUCUAUUCACAACAUCUUUUUUAUGAAGAAUCUCUUCAAUGAUAUACGUAAAAGAAUUAAACUUAACAUUUAUCGGUAGAAUCAUAAUCUUAAGCAAAUCUAUCAAUAAAAGUUUUCCUUUAAACACAAAGAAUUUUUUGCUUUAAUUGCAUGGUCAUGCUUACGUUAACUUACAUCGUAAAUAAUUUGGAAUAAAUUUUAAAAUUAUACAUUAAUUUUAAUUUAACAUGUAAUUGUAUAUAUGAAUUUUAAUUUGAUGUAAUUAUAUAUUUAAAACUCUAAUUGUGAUUUAAAUGUAUUUUUAAAUUUGUUUUUAUAUAAAAAUAAUAAUCUAAAAAAAUUAAUACGGGCGAGUUGGGUCGAGCUCGGAUUUAGUAUUUUUAAUUUAGGUCAAGUUUGAAUCUAAAAAAUAGACUUAAAAUUUUGUAUUGGCCCGAUCUAACCUAUAAUUUAAUCUAUUUGUAGUGUAUUUGGGUUAAGAGAAACGAUAAUUGUUUUGACAAUGGUAAGGGUAACCUAGUAGAGCUAUUGUGCAAGAAAAAGGAGGAAUUGGUGUGCUUUUGGGUGACAAGUUUUAUUCAAAUUCGAACCUAUCUAUAAUAUUAUAAUUUAAGUAUAAUUCGGUUCAGCCUUAUGUAAAACCUUCUAUAUUUCAAUUGAAAUGUAAUUACAAAUUGUAAAAAUUAAAUAUUUUGUUUAUUUUGAUAACCCACCAUUUUAAACAUACAUAAAAGAAAGAUAUUACCACAAUUUUUAUAAGACAAUUCAAAAUUUUCUUUUUGAUAUAAUGCUUAAAACUAUUUAUAACAUUUUUAUUAACCCUUAAAUAGGAGAAUAACGCACUUCAGAAUAUUUGAAUCUACGUUUUCCUACAUUAACAACUAUAUCGAUGCCAAUUGAGCUAAGACUCAAUCGACAAUCCACAACAUCUCUUAAAUACAAACAUUAUAUCCAUAUUCCAUUUAGGAAAACAAUUUAGAAUUACAAUAAAUCCACUUCAAAAUGCAGUGGAUAUUAAAAUUAUUAUUCUCUGCAGAUUUGGAUAGACCUCUAAUUUCGCAUAACUGGAUACAAAAUAUUUAAAAUUUUUCUUCCCAUAAGGUCUAAACUCAUGACCAUAUUCAAGUAAUACCAUGCUUUAAACCUUCAAGACUAACCAUCAAAUUUAAUUAAAAUUUACACAAAUUAAUAAAUAACAUAUAAAUAUCAGUAAAAUUAUUUUAUAAAAUUAAAUAUAAUAAUUAAAAAUAAUUUAAUAAAUUUAAAUAUGUUUAAAAAUUUAUCAAAAAAAUUUAUCAUCUUAUUCUCUUAAAUUUUAUGUAGUUUCUUUUAAAUCUUGUUUUUUUUUUGUACUCGUAAACUUAACUCAAUAAUGAGAUGAUAUCAUCAAAAUUUUUAGAUUUAUGAUUAUCCCAUUUAUUAUUUAAUCAAUUCAAUUAAUUAAAUUAUUUUAAACAAAAAAUUAACUGAUAUUUAUAUAAAUAAAUAUUAUAAUAUAAAUUAAUUUUGAAAUGUUAUCUUUAGUACAUAUUAUAUUAUAAAAACAAUAUACAAACUUGGAAAAUUAUGCGGUUGUGGCUUCUAUGGUCUGGAGAAGUAAAUGAUCUUAUUGACUGAAAUAGGCUUAAUGGCAAAUUUGGCUACUAAUGUUUGCAUGUUUUGUUAAAAUGAAAUUAAUUAUAUUUUUGAGUCUUUUUUAGCUAUUAAUCUUUUUUUUUCAACUUGCUUUUUCUAACAUAUUUAAUAAAAAUAACGUUAAAAAAAUUAACGGGGAUGAUAUAGAAUUUCAUAUGUGAAAUAAUUUUAAUGAGAUAUUAUUUGUUAUUUAGAUAACCCAAUAAGAUAAUUAUAUGUGGAAAAUAAUAAAAUAAACAAUACAUUAAAUUAAAAAAAUAACUCUUAAUUUAAAGAAAAUAAAUGUAAUUAUCUAAAAAAAAAAUUAACUCAGUAGAAAAGCUUAUCAAUAAACAAACCUAUGAAGAUUGAAACUUUUUGGAAGAAAAGAAAAAUUAAAACCUUGAAUUUAUUCAUUAAAUCUGUUAGAAAAAGUGGAUUGAAAAAAAAAGAACAAAGGUUGAUGGUAAAAAAAAAACUCAAAAAUACAAUUAGGAUUAUUUUGACAAAACAUGUAAAUAUUAGUGGCCAAAUUUAUUAUUAAGCCAAUGAAAUAAUAGAAGAAAAAUCUAGUUGAACACUACUAGUAAGGAAAUACAAUGAAAUAUCAAACAGUUUAUGCAGUACAUUCAUUACAGAAAGCUUAAAUUAAAAGACAUGGUAUUGUUUAGGGAGAUCAAGGCAUACAGGGUGUCCUUAGCUUAAGAAGCACAUGGACUAGCAUUCCACAAACAAAACCAAGUGCUGCACUUGACCCUACAAGUGAAACAGCAGUGCAUAUUAACAUCACAAAUGACUCUUGCUUUGAAUUCAUGUCCCUGCAAGUCAUUGCUAGUUCAAUCCCUGCAAACAAGAGUAAAACACCCAAGAUACCAACAGGAAACAGGUGCAAAAUUGUCACUAAAGAAGUUCCCAAUACCAAACCCAACAUCAUUUUGGCUGCACCAAGUAAGGCAACACACCCACCACUCCUGCCCCCAAACUUGUACUGUCCAGCUAACCCACCUGCACCAUGGCAACAAGGCAGGGCACCAAACCAACAUCCCACCAAGUUCAUUAGCCCCACGGUUACAGAAACCGAGGUGGCGGAGAAUUCCCUUCCUGGAAAAAGAUCUGAUGACAACUUACAGACAGCAAUCACCGAGUUCAGUACUGAUAAAGGUAAUUGAGGAAUUGUCCCCUUGAUAAAUCCUUCCUUCCAUGAAUGACCAGUUAUUUUCACAAUCUCCAUGACUGAAGGUCCAAACUUAAUGUCAUUCACCACUUUUGGCCUUCUUAUGAAAGCCAACACUACACCUAACAAGAAAAUGAUGAAAGCUGAAGGGAUGGUAGCCAUG
This 28232-nucleotide long non-coding RNA is filed under the name Gossypium barbadense (sea-island cotton). Its description in RNAcentral is "long non-coding RNA (GBAR_LNC004995)". The record is from RNAcentral. Lineage: Eukaryota; Viridiplantae; Streptophyta; Magnoliopsida; Malvales; Malvaceae.